RNAcentral lists this ribosomal RNA (496 nucleotides) under uncultured bacterium. Its description in RNAcentral is "partial 16S ribosomal RNA". It matches the Rfam family "Bacterial small subunit ribosomal RNA", at positions 28 to 506 of the family's 1533-position model. The record is from RNAcentral.
GAUGAACGCUGGCGGCGUGCCUAAUACAUGCAAGUCGAGCGAACGGACGAGAAGCUUGCUUCUCUGAUGUUAGCGGCGGACGGGUGAGUAACACGUGGAUAACCUACCUAUAAGACUGGGAUAACUUCGGGAAACCGUAGCUAAUACCGGAUAAUAUUUUGAACCGCAUGGUUCAAAAGUGAAAGACGGUCUUGCUGUCACUUAUAGAUGGAUCCGCGCUGCAUUAGCUAGUUGGUAAGGUAACGGCUUACCAAGGCAACGAUGCAUAGCCGACCUGAGAGGGUGAUCGGCCACACUGGAACUGAGACACGGUCCAGACUCCGACGGGAGGCAGCAGUAGGGAAUCUUCCGCAGUGGGCGAAAGCCUGACGGAGCAACGCCGCGUGAGUGAUGAAGGUCUUCGGAUCGUAAAACUCUGUUAUUAGGGAAGAACAUAUGUGUAAGUAACUGUGCACAUCUUGACGGUACCUAAUCAGAAAGCCACGGCUAACUACGU